CCAUGAGAACUUAAUAGUGGGACUCAAUAAGAAAACAGUCUUAAGGUGCAGGGUAUUUAUACACAGUCAACUUUUAAAAUACUUCUGUAUUUGAAAAAUGUGUGUAAUUGAUAUAAAAGAUAACCUGAGAGUAACAGCAGCAUAGAAAUCCCAAGAGCAACUCAGGAAUAGAGAAAUGCUUGUAUUUAUUCAGUGUCUGGAGCUGCCAGGUAGUGUGCAAGGCCUUCCCAUCCACUGCCUCUGGUCUUUACAGCUGCCCGGGCCUCUCCUUUCUGUGCCUGGUGCACCGAAGUGUCACUGUUACUUCGCAUGGCUGAAGGCCCUAGACUUGAGGUCAAAGUCGGUACCCUGUUUAUGCCAUGUACAGAAUCACAAUACAGACUUUAUUUAAAGACUGAUGCUUGGCCUGUGUGAGCUUUGAUAAAAGGAAAUGAUAUAAAAACAAAUCCACCCACAAAGCGUCCAAUCAGCUUGCUGCUGUAUAAAAUGGGAUCUUUGCAGAGAGGUCAAAGCUGCUGACACUGACGCUGCCAUAGGUGUCAGAGUCCAUCUACAAGAAGGAGUGAGAUCAGUGAGAGAUGACUUGGGGAGAAAGGAGCAGAGACCUGGAGCCUGGAGAAGGCCCACCGGGGAGUGAGCAAGGUGAAGACACCAGCCUCUGACCCCUAACUCGGCCUAGAGGCUGGAAGUCACUUACAGAGAGGCAAGGUCACCAACAGGAGAUAGCCCUUGGCCAUAUCCAUACCCCUCUUGGAGAGACGCUGAAGCAUCAUGCAACCCUGUGGAGUAGUCUUACUCUUAAUUGGGAAGCACAGCCAGGACUCACAGAGUCUGGAAGCCUGCCUAACCACUGCACGUCAUGGAGAUUUCUCAAUCAGGCAUGAUCGAUCCUGUGACAGACACCAUGAGUCGGUUGGGGGACCCAAGCUCCCCUUCUUCAGCUUCCUAGAACCCAAGAGAGACUCUUCGGAGCGGAAUGCCUGGCUUAAGAGAAGCAGGACUUCAUUAAAGGCUUGAUUUAUCCCCAAAUGAUCUAUUGUUAUGCAUCAAACAUGUUUUCCCUACAAACCAGUUGGCAGAGAGCAUGCAGAUAAAUUACUACAAGAUGUAACCAGGCAAGCUGUUCAAAAGGAGAAUGAUUCUCUGUGUGUGGAGCUCAGGAGAGCACAUCUAUAAACAUGUGUUGGGAAAUCCAUUUAUUAUAAGUUGGCUGAAAGAAACAAGCUGCUGCCCUCAACUACCAGCUUGCUGCGAUAUCUGAUAGUUCUUCUGAGGUCACUGUCCAUUUUCUCAUGGGGAGGAUGGAGCAAUCAGGGUGUAGCUACUCUGCAGUAUCUUCAGAGGGGAGGGAGUGCCAGCUUAUCUAUAGACAAUGGCGAAUUCUCCCUGGCAAAAGUGAUGUCAGCCAGACUUUGUUCCCUGGAGAGAUGGGAUAGAGCAAUUCUACCUGAGUAUAAAAAUAUUUAAUUGAUGUUAGGAUCAAUUUCAAAAGAAUAAUGUAGUAUUAUAACACUACAGCACAGUGCUACGAUUUGGAAGAGAGAGCCUAGGUAAGGGAUCAGAGAAUACAGAGUAUAAAUCCCUGCCUGACCAUGGGCCACUUGCUAGCUCUGAAUUCAAAAAUUCAAAAUUUUUGAAUUUUUCUGAGAUUUCUUCCCCUCUGCUUAAAGGAAGUAGGUAUAUGCCACUUGCUCUGACAAAGUUCUGAAUUACAUAACCCAUGGGCUUCACUAUGGCCAAUAGCCACAUCAGGCUAAUUACAUCAAACUUAAAUAAACUAAAUCAAGUCUUCAGUUUCUCCAUCAUACAGGCACAUUUCAAGUACUUGGUAAUCUCGUGGAGCUGCGGCUACUGUAUCGGGCUGCACAGACAGACAAUUUCUAUUCCUGUGGAACAGCCUACUGGACAGUAGUAUCCCAGAUACAGACAAGACCCUUUAUGUAUCACUGUUUUUGCUUGCUUCAGAGUUUUCAAACCCUUUCUGACAUUAUACUUGAUCAAAGAGCUCUCUGUCCAGCAAAGCUGGGAUGCUCUCUCAUAGCCUCUUGGACAAGACCCUCUCUCUAUUUGAUGUUCUGAUCUGGCUUGAGUCUGAAAACAUAGUGAUUAAUGGAAAGCUGGAAAGAGUACUGAAUAGAAGAUUUCUGGGCCUUUAGUUAAUAACACAUCAAAUGAACAAAUGUGGAAGACCCUGUCUCCAGCCACGAAGGCAUCUCAGAAGAAAUGACAGACUAGGAACAAAUUGGAAUCAGCAAAGAACAAGAAAAGGCCCUGCCAGAAGAUCCAUCAAAUACUCUUGUUGAAGCUUGGUGAGUGGCAUCUAAACGGGCUUGUGCUAACAUGCUUGUAGACCUUCGAAUAUUGGAUUUAACUGCCUCAGAAAAAAUCUCCGUACAGAUGAAAACUACCCUGAGAUAUGUAGCUGGAGCUUAAGGGCUUUGCUGAAGGUCAAAGCAGAGUGGCCUCAGCAUUGCUUUCGUCUGCUUGAGGACCAGCUUGACUUUCUGGGGUACUUCCAAGACAUCCAUGCUGCAGCUAAUCAGAUUGUAGCCUGCUGAGAAGGCCUUCUUGAUCUGCAGAGCAUAUUUCCUGGAAGAAUAAAAAAAAGCAAGCACAAGAUGAAGUAAGCAAUGAAUGAUUAAGAGCUCACUCAGGGUCACAAGCUAGUGAAGCAUGGAGCCAGGACCUGGCCCUGGGUGGUCCCCCAAGAAUUCACAUUCUGAGUCACAGUGCUCUGGAGCCCGUCAGGGUAAGUGCUCUCUCUCUCUCUCUCUCUCUCUCUCUCUCUCUCUGGCUUCCUUCUUUAAGUUUCCAAAAAUAAUGAAUUUUUAAAAUGGUAUUUGGAGAUUUUUCUUCUGCAGUUUUUCUGGUCAUUGUAGGAAAGAGCCUUAAGUAUUACAGAAAGCAGCAUUAAAAAUAAUGAUAGACACACUGCUUCCUAGAUAAGGCAUCUUCUAGAUUCUACACAAACAAGCAUUUCAUGGCUAAAUGAAAAUAAUAAAUCCAAGGAGGCAGUGAGAUGGUUUCCCUCUGGAAUUUGUGUGCUAGAGUUUGGAUCUGGAAAAUCCUUACAGGUUUGUGUGGUAAGGCGUAGCCCCCAGCACCAGUCCAUUGCAGUACAUCUCUGUUGGGGGGUGUGGGACCUUUCAAAGGCGGAGCCUAACAGAGGCUAUAGGUCACAGGGGGCAUGGUCUUGAAGGAGAUGGUGGAGCCCCAGUCCCUUCCUCUUUUUCAUGUGAAUAGUGUCACCAUAUACCCCUUCCUCCUCACGACCUCCAAAGCAAUGAGGGCAACUGACCAUGGACUCAAACCUGCAGAACUGUGAGCCCAAGUAAAAACUUUCUUAUUUUUAAAUCGCUCAUCUCGGAUAUGGUGUUAUAGUGAUAGAAAGCUGAGUAACUCAGUUUCCAGUGAAAAUGGGCUUUAGGAUUGAGAAAGGUGGGCCACAAACUGCUUGCUUAUAAAUUAAUUUUUAUUGGAACACAGACACACCAACAAUUUUAGAUUGUCCACUCUGGUUUUUGCACUACCAGAGUUGAGUAGUGAUAAACUUUAUGGCACACAACACUGAAAAUAUGAGAUGUGAUUUACAGGAAGGUGUUUAAAUUUUUUAAAUUUUUACUACAUUAAGGACACAUUGCUGUUAAGCUCUCUGAAAAUAUUCCUCCUAAUUUUCAACACACUUGCCCGGUGAUUCUUGCCUCUUUCUGAAGCAGUUCUAUAGGUCCUUUGGUGAAUGCCUUCAGUCACACUGUUGUGGCUGCCUCGAUGUCUUGAACUGAUUCAAGCCACUCACCUUUCGUGGUCAUUUUGAAUUUGGGGAAAAGUCAGAAGUCUCACAGUGCCAGACUCAGUGAAUGAAAUGAAUGAGGACCCAGCGCAAUGCUUUCAGGAGCCUGUCAGACAUUCUUUUGUUUUCUCGCUGUCAUCUAAGUCAAAGAUCAGCAAAUCUUUUCUACAAAUGGCCGGAUGGUAUAUAUGAGGUGGGAUCAAAAUAUACAGUACAUGUUUAAAUCUAAACAACUUAUUACAGUGAAAGAUACAUUGCUGUUAGCCCCCUUUGAAAUAUUCCCAACACACUUAUGCCACCACUCUUGCUGCUCCCUGAAGAAGCUGUGGACAUCCCGUUUAGUGUCUUCCACGGUGUGACAAAGACUGUGCCAACACAGGCUCCUAAAAGCCACGUGAGUCCACACCACUACCUGACCUAACACAAUGCAAAUCCACCCCUCCAACAAGCCCGGAAGUCACAGCCAGCCCUGACUGAUCACUUUGUGCAACACACACACCAUGCUCGGCUCCACGUAAACUUUUGUUUUUUCAUUUAAUUUUCACAACUCAAGGAAACAGGACAUUCUCCUUAUUCCAUAAAUCAGGAAACUGGAGCCUAGGGAGGUUGAUUACUUAAUUCCAGGAUAUUUCACAGAAAAUGGUAGAAGGUUUUAAAGUCAAGGAGCCUGAAACCAGCCACAAAUCUUCCAGUAACUCUGCUCUGCUAUGCUGUGUGGCUCAUUUAUAGCCUCUUCAUCCUCAUGGCUUUCAAGGUACUCCAUGGGUAGCUGUUUUCUACUUUCCUAAUUAGAACCAAGGCCCAGACAUAGUUUCUCAUAAAGCUGCAUACCUCGUAGCCCCCUUCCUAGCAAGUGGCCACUGUAUGAUACAGCAUACCCUGAAAACAGGGGCACGCAUGGCAUGUUCUACUGCUUUUAUAUUUCCAGCACUCACUAGGAGUUUUCUCAGUGACUUUUAUAUAAUUGACAAACAUUAUUUAAACUUGGAGAUGUUAUAAGAACUCUAACGCAAGUCCUUGCUAGUCAUAGUCCAGGCUGAGGUCCAGCAGCUGACGUCACCUGACGACUUGUUAGGAGUGUGCUGUCUUCAGGCUCAGGUCCCGUCCCGCUCUGGGAUGGUGGAAUCAGAGUCCAUCCUCAACAAGGCGACCAGGUGAUUCCUACGCACUUUAAAGCACUGCAAUCCUUACAAAAUUAUUACCACUGAGCCCUCCUGUACCGGAACAAUCCGGGUGCAGUGGUUAGCUGGGACUGAAGCAGACUUGCAGAAGCUGACAUGCCAGUGUAUUGUAGAGAUAGAGGACUCCAGGGUGCAGAAGGAAAUGGGCUGUGAUCGUGAGGAGGAAUGAAUGGCCGCGCUCCUGUCUGUCAGGAGCCUCUCCCUUUCCCCUUGGCCCCUGCUCACCGGAGUCACCUCACUACUACUCCCCAUCAGGGCUUCAGCUUAAACCUCAGAGUCCCUUUCCUCCAGGAUGUGGGAGCCAGGUGCCCCCUUCAGCACCUGCCACUCCUCCCAUCCCAUCAGGAGCCAUCGUCAUUUCCUGUGCUCUCCCUGUGUCCCAUGGCGACAACACCAUGGGAACCCUGCUCGCCCUGGUAAUUAGCACUCACUGCUCGCUCACCUGUGUCUGGCUGGGGUGUGUAUUGGCAGAAUCCACACUUGCUCUGACUGACUCUGUUACCACCUCCCUUCCCAAGGUGGAGAGCUGAGGUCACCGAAGCAUGCUCAGUGAGGCAUGUUGAGUGGAAGAAGAGAGGAGCUGCUCCUCUCUCUGCUCUGCCCACCCGUACCUUCCCUGGUGGGAGUGAAACCACCCUAGAUUCCCUUCCCCCACCCCACAAUGUACCUCCUGGAACUCAGCCUUGACAUCCUGCAGCCACAGGCAGAACGGCUGAACCUCUUGGACUUUCUGUGCCUGAAUGGCAACGGCUUCCACAGCAAAGGCUUGCUCCUGACUUGUUUGACCGAAUCCACUUAAAAAGAAAGUAAUGAACGGAGAGGCAAGAGUCUCUGAGUGCACCAUUUCCAGACUUGUGCACUUUCCACUUAGAGACUCGAGCUCACUGCAUUCAUCCUACAGCCAGAGCACAGGUAGGGCAUGGAACUGUUGCCAAGGACUUGAAAUCUUUGGCUGUGUCACGCAUUUGCUGGAAAUGGAAAUAAAUGUUACUCCUACUCUUGUA
Long non-coding RNA from Heterocephalus glaber (naked mole-rat), 5975 nucleotides. RefSeq lists it as uncharacterized. The record is from RefSeq and is a predicted model, not a curated record. Lineage: Eukaryota; Metazoa; Chordata; Mammalia; Rodentia; Bathyergidae.